CGAAGUAUAGCUCAGUGGUAGAGUGCUUGCCUAGUAUGCACGAGGUCCUGGGUUCAAUCCCCAGUAUCUCCA
This 72-nucleotide transfer RNA is filed under the name Camelus bactrianus (Bactrian camel). It matches the Rfam family "tRNA". From Rfam's summary of the family: Transfer RNA (tRNA) molecules are approximately 80 nucleotides in length. Their secondary structure includes four short double-helical elements and three loops (D, anti-codon, and T loops). Further hydrogen bonds mediate the characteristic L-shaped molecular structure. tRNAs have two regions of fundamental functional importance: the anti-codon, which is responsible for specific mRNA codon recognition, and the 3' end, to which the tRNAs corresponding amino acid is attached (by aminoacyl-tRNA synthetases). tRNAs cope with the degeneracy of the genetic code in two manners: having more than one tRNA (with a specific anti-codon) for a particular amino acid; and 'wobble' base-pairing, i.e. permitting non-standard base-pairing at the 3rd anti-codon position. Lineage: Eukaryota; Metazoa; Chordata; Mammalia; Artiodactyla; Camelidae. The record is from Rfam by way of RNAcentral. RNAcentral also lists the same sequence under 2 other names.